This is a long non-coding RNA of Homo sapiens (human), 3771 nucleotides long. The record is from Ensembl. NCBI's taxonomy places the organism in Eukaryota, Metazoa, Chordata, Mammalia, Primates, Hominidae.
GGGGAGAUUCGUUCUCAUUUUUCUACUGCUCGUGGUAAGUGGCUUCGUGGUCUUUAUAGCUGUUACUCUUUUGUACUUUGUCUUUUUCUUUUAUUUUCUUUUGAGCGAUUGUGCGAACAUAGCAUAGCACGCACUAUGCCUUCUGUGUUGUAGCUGCCUGGCCAGGGCGACUGGCGGAUAAGGUCUUGUGCGUGGCCUCGAGGCUUAAAAGUAGCAGUGGGGCUUUGUGAAGGACAAAAUGGCGAUGGCGGGCCGUGUAGGUCCCCCUUCCUAUGAUGAGGACCUUUUCACAGACCUGUACUGAGCUCCGUGAGGAUAAAUAACUCUGAGGAGAUGGGCCCUGCAAGCCUCUUGCUUAGCCGUCUGUUCAGAAAAUAGCGUUUUCGAAAUGCCCUGAGUUGACCUAAUGUCUUAUUGGGCUCCUGUCUGCAGGAUUUACGCGCACGUUGGAACCGAAGAGAGCUCUGUUGUUGCAGUAAGUUCUUACGGCCAUUUCUUAAUCUCUGCUCUUUCGUUGAGUGUGUGGAAGUUGCUACGGGGAUGAUUUUACGAACUGAACUCUCUCUUUCUGAUGGAUUAGUGGAGAAAACAGAAAAUUCUGAGUAGCACUGUACUGUACGCAACAAAUGUCAGGGCCCUAUUGAUUUGUCUGAGGUGUUAGUGAAGGGUGUUAUUUUUUCAGAUGUUCAGCCCACAAGAGCUUACUGGUGAAGGAAUGGGACAAGACCCAUCUUUAUGCAAAGCCAGCGUUACAGUAAUGUUCCAGGUAGGUGUACAUGGUUUAUGCUCUUACAGAGGAGACCUUGUAGAUAACCACUCCAUGAUGAACACAAAAUGACAAGCAUAUGGCUGAACUUUCAAGUGAUGUCAUCUUACUACUGAGAAGUGAGAGAGAGGUCUUAAGGGGUCUUUGAAUGACUAUUUUUAGGUACAUAAAAUGCUUUCCUCUGUUGUCUACAGCAUCUCAUAAUCUAUCCUGGGGAAUUCAGCUGCCUCCCAGGGUGAAUACAGGUAAUUAUCCAAAUUGGUGUAUGUCAUCUUUGUAAAUGUUCAAGAAAACAAGUGGCCGGCGGAACAAUGUUUUUUGGCGCCUUCCAUCUUGUUCCUCUUGAAAUGAUUUUCUGGGGAGGGAGAUCGCAACCCGGUACUACAGUUCUUGUAAGGGUGUGCUGUUACCCUCAUCCAUAUAUCGAUCACGUUACUGUCAGAUGAUUUGAAUUGAUAAGCUGAUGUUCUGUGAGGUACAAAAGUUAAUAGCAUGUUAGAGUUCUGAUGGCAGUUGUUGUUUAUGAAUAAGCUUCAUUCCAUCCUAAUACCUUAAAAUAACUAAUUUGCUUUCCUUUCCAGGUAUUCCUGAUGACAGUCUGCCUCUAUCUUACAGUAAGUUGUUUUUCGAAUUCUAUGGGCCUAUUAUCUAAUAGAUAACUUAGCCAUUUUGAUAUUUGUUACCAAAGCCUGCUUAACCCAUAAAGUUUUCUGGUUCCUCUUGUUCUCUGUAGUGAUGUUUCUAGAUAGAUGCCCACUGAUAUAUGCCCCUUUUUUCUCAGAUAGAUGCCCACUGAUCUGCCCAGGGUCAGACGAAUGCUUGUCAGUUGUAGCUUUCCAGGAUUCUGCUCCAAUGAGGAGGAAACAUCCUGCCUUACCCCUGUUUUAGCCUGGGAACCAGUAAUUGUGAACUCACCAGGGUUAACAUGAAGAGGGCAUGAGAGCUUAUUCCAUAAGGAAUUGUCUGAGACAUUUGGUUACCUUUUCUUAGUUUGUCCAUUAGCAACCGUAACUAAAAUAGUUUUGGCUGUUUGGGAUAAUUAGCUAAUUGAAUGAUUUUUUGAUUCAGGAGCAGCUUGUUGCUAUAUACCAUUGAAAAGCCUUCAGAGCUGAGAGGUUAGUUGAUAUUUUUUGUUCCUUACAGCUUAUGCCACCAAGUAGGCAGUUUCUAUGAUGAAUCAAACUAGCUCACUAUGACCGACAGUGAAAAUACAUGAACACCUGAGAAACUGGAGAACGCAGGGAGUGGGGGGUAACCAUGUCUGAGGAAUCUUUCACCCACAGCUUUGUUUUUCUCUAGGUACUACUAACCAAUAACCUGCUUGGCUCAAAGGUGAGUAAUUUCACGGUAUUCAAUGCACUCAGUAUAUAGGGUAGGAAAAAGUGCCUUUUUAGGCCUGUGUUUGUGAUGACUUACAUGGAAUCUCGUUCGGCUGAUGACUUGCUGUUGAGACUCUGAAAUCUGAUUUUCUGAGAAUGAUGGGUGGGAACAACAUAAUGCGGGAUAUGAGAAGCACUACUGACUUGGUCUUCCUCCUUUCAGGGCCAGCACCUUCUCUCUAAAGCCCAAGAGGAGUUUGAGGUAAAUGGCUUUGCAAUAGUUACCAUCAAUGGCUGCUAUAUAAAAUUUUCUGUGAUUUUUGUGUGUGAUAGCACUGUGGUCUGGGUGAAUGUACACAGACAUAACUGGCUUAACCCAAAGUCUUUGAUCUCCUGAACCACCAGUGAUGAAUUGCUGCUCACCAGUGAUGAGUUGAAUACCGCCCCAGUCUGAUCAAUGUGUGACUGAAAGGUAUUUUCUGAGCUGUGAGCCUGCCUUCCAGUGACAUGUUCUAAAAAUUGCAAGUUAUUUGAGGAGGCUUUACAGCCAAUAGGAAGUUCUUGGGCUAAGUAGUGUUUCCUAUAAAAUGUGCCCUGAAACUUCUUUCUGCCAAGCAAUAGAUACAAUUGAGAGAUUGUAAAAUGUGACAUAGAAUGAAAGUCUCUCAAGACUACAUUUUUCUUUCUUGAUUUUGCAGGAAAACUAGGUGUCUGUGUUCACUCCAGGCUGAAGUUACAGGUGAGUAAACCUAAAUGUAAGGUGGACUAUGCUAAAAAUUCCCAAUGAAGAAACUUUCACAUGUCUUACUCUCUGUCCUAGUCCCAGAGCCUGUAAAGGUGAACCCACUGGGACUGGCUGGGGGAGAAGAGGAAGAUUUGUUCCAGAAGGAACUGUCUGAGGGAUGAUAAAGAUUUCUAUACAGAGAAAGGGAGUAAUCAUCACUUGUUGAAAACAUUGGUUUUAUUUUUUCCAGGUCUGAGCAAAUAAGGUGUAUAAAAAAUGGAAUCUGUCUUGGAGGACAUCAGAAGGUGAAUUUUCCAAGUUCUUGGACAACCUAGCUGUUGAAAAGCUUUCUGGGUUUGGGGGGUAUUUCAGAUGUACCUUAAAGUGUUAGCAGACACAGAUUAAGACACUGGGAGCCAAUGAAACAGCAGUUGAGGGUUUGCUGUGUAUCACAUUUCUGUAUUUUAUCACCCCCUUCCUGCAACAUUAUUUAUCUGGAAUCUACCUGCCCUUUUGUUUUUUAGAUACAAGGGCUUGGUUUUGUUACCCAGGCUGGUUUCAAGGCCAUAGCUUUAAGAGAUCCUCUCACCACAGAUUUCCAAAGUGCUGGGAUUGCAGGUGUGAUUCAUGGCACCCAGACUUUGCUGCCUUUCUUACAUGAUCCAGGCCCAGAACCCAAACUCAGGCACUGUAUAGAUGACCACUUUCGUAAACUACUGACCUAGCUUGUUGCCAAUUGUUGAUUGAACUUCCCAUAACUCCACUUCGUGUCUGUUCCUCUGUAUACAGCCACCUUCUGUUCCCGUCAUGAGCCUUUAGGUCUCCAUUUGCAUAUUGCAAAUACUAUGUUCCAUGUAGGUAGCUCAUUCAGGGCCUUGCUCUUCACUUCAAAAAAGGUUCCCUUGAGGACUGGCUGUCAAUUUGUGUUGCUGUGUUGGUUGUUGAUGAAAAUAAUAAAAUGA